This 253-nucleotide ribosomal RNA is filed under the name uncultured bacterium. RNAcentral's name for it is "partial 16S ribosomal RNA". It matches the Rfam family "Bacterial small subunit ribosomal RNA", at positions 524 to 776 of the family's 1533-position model. The record is from RNAcentral.
UACAGAGGUCCCGAGCGUUGUUCGGAUUCAUUGGGCGUAAAGGGUGCGUAGGCGGCGAGGCCAGUCUGAUGUGAAAUCCCCGGGCUCAACCCGGGAACUGCAUUGGAUACUGCCUUGCUUGAGUACUGGAGAGGGAACUGGAAUUUACGGUGUAGCAGUGAAAUGCGUAGAUAUCGUAAGGAAGACCAGUGGCGAAGGCGAGUCUCUGGACAGUUACUGACGCUGAGGCACGAAGGCCAGGGGAGCAAACGGG